GAAAAAUUCAAUUUAGGGUUUAAAACCCUAAUGCUGACUGAAUGGAAAAAUUCAGUUUAGGGUUUAAAACCCUAAUGCUGACUGAAUGGAAAAAUUCAGUUUAGGGUUUAAAACCCUAAUGCUGACUACAGGAAAGAGUUCAGUUUAGGGUUUAAAACCCUAAUGCUGACUAAAUGGGGAAAGUUCAGUUUAGGGUUUUAAACCUUAAUGCUGACUGAAUGGAAAAAUUCAGUUUAGGGUUUAAAACCCUAAUGCUGACUGAAUGGAAAAAUUCAGUUUAGGGUUUAAAACCCUAAUGCUGAUUUAAAGGAAAAAGUGCAGUUUAGGGUUUUAAACCCUAAUGCUGACUAAAGGAAAAGUUCAGUUUAGGGUUUAAAACCCUAAUGCUGACUGAAUGGAAAAAUUCAGUUUAGGGUUUAAAACCCUAAUGCUGAUUUAAAGGAAAAAGUGCAGUUUAGGGUUUUAAACCCUAAUGCUGACUAAAGGAAAAGUUUAGUUUAGGGUUUAAAACCCCUAAUGCUGACUGAAUGGAAAAAUUCAGUUUAGGGUUUAAAACCCUAAUGCUGAUUUAAAGGAAAAAGUGCAGUUUAUGGUUUAAAACCCUAAUGCUGACUAAAGGAAAGGUUCAGUUUAGGGUUUAAAACCCUAAUGCUGACGGAAUGGAAACGUUCAGUUUAGGGUUUAAACCCUAAUGCUGACUGAAUGGAAAAAUUCAGUUUAGGGUUUAAAACCCUAAUACUGAUUUAAAGGAAAAAGUUCAGUUUAGGGUUUAAAACCCUAAUGCUGGCUAAAGGAAAGGUUCAGUUUAGGGUUUAAAACCCUAAUGCUGACUAAAUGGAAAAAGUUCAGUUUAGGGUUUAAAACCCUAAUGCUGAUUUAAAGGAAAAAGUGCAGUUUAGGGUUUAAAACCCUAAUGCUGACUAAAGGAAAGGUUCAGUUUAGGGUUUAAAACCCUAAUGCUGACUGAAUGGAAAAAUUCAGUUUAGGGUUUAAAACCCUAAUGCUGAUUUAAAGGAAAAAGUGCAGUUUAUGGUUUAAAACCCUAAUGCUGACUAAAUGGAAAAAGUUCAGUUUAGGGUUUAAAACCCUAAUGCUGACUGAAUGGAAAAGUUCAUUUAGGGUUUAAAACUCUAAUGCUGACUAAAUGGAAAAAGUUCAGUUUAGGGUUUAAAACCCUAAUGCUGACUAAAUGGAAAAGUUCAGUUUAGGGUUUAAAACCCUAAUGCUGACUAAAUGGAAAAGUUCAGUUUAGGGUUUAAAACCCUAAUGCUGACUAAAUGGAAAAAGUUCAGUUUAGGGUUUAAAUCCCUAAUGCUGACUGAAUGGAAAAGUUCAGUUUAGGGUUUAAAACCCUAAUGCUGACUGAAUGGAAAAGUUCAGUUUAGGGUUUAAAACCCUAAUGCUGACUGAAUGGAAAAAUUCAGUUUAAGGUUUAAAACCCUAAUGCUGACUGAAUGGAAAAAUUCAGUUUAGGGUUUAAAACCCUAAUGCUGACUGAAUGGAAAAAGUUCAGUUUAGGGUUUAAAACCCUAAUGCUGACUGAAUGGAAAAAUUCAGUUUAGGGUUUAAAACCCUAAUGCUGACUGAAUGGAAAAAUUCAGUUUAGGGUUUAAAACCCUAAUACUGACUGGCUGGAAAAGUUCAAUUUAGGGUUUAAAACCCUAAUGCUGACUGAAUGGAAAAGUUCAGUUUAGGGUUUAAAACCCUAAUGCAGACUGAAUGGAAAAGUUCAGUUUAGGGUUUAAAACCUUAAUGCUGACUAAAUGGAAAAAGUUCAGUUUAGGGUUUAAAACCCUAAUGCUGACUGAAUGGAAAAGUUCAUUUAGGGUUUAAAACCCUAAUUCUGACUAAAUGGAAAAAGUUCAGUUUAGGGUUUAAGACCCUAAUGCUGACUGAAUGGAAAAGUUCUUUUAGGGUUUAAAACCCUAAUGCUGACUAAAUGGAAAAGUUCAGUUUAGGGUUUAAAACCCUAAUGCUGACUAAAUGGAAAAAGUUCAGUUUAGGGUUUAAAACCCUAAUGCUGACUGAAUGGAAAAGUUCAUUUAGGGUUUAAAACCCUAAUGCUGACUAAAUGGAAAAAGUUCAGUUUAGGGUUUAAGACCCUAAUGCUGACUGAAUGGAAAAGUUCAGUUU
This 2133-nucleotide long non-coding RNA is filed under the name Nicotiana tabacum (common tobacco). Its description in RNAcentral is "long non-coding RNA (NTAB_LNC002515)". The record is from RNAcentral. Lineage: Eukaryota; Viridiplantae; Streptophyta; Magnoliopsida; Solanales; Solanaceae.